GAUAUUUUCUGGUGCGUGAUAAACUUAUUUAGCAUAGGUAUUAUCGUAUAUUUGAUGUAUACUGUAUAAACUAAAAUGUGUACGUUGCGAAUUUAAUUAAUAAAUGUUAAUAAUCUCUAUAGAAAUUUAUAAAACGCAUGGUUGAAUAUAAUUUGUUAUAAUCAAGCAGGGAACAGAAUAACAUUUUUAAAAAUUGUAAAGGCGUGGUCGAAAGUCAGUUUUGUAAACCUAAAAAAUUCGUUCGACGAUAAGAUCCGCGAUGAGUGUGAGCAAAGCGGCAGCAGUGUUUAACGUUUAACGUUGUCCGUUUAAAGUUUUUGACUUAAAACGGUUUAGUGACCACGACGGCACCCCGUAAAUCCCAUUGUAGGUAUUACCGUGUAAAAACAACACGUAUGUACGAAAGGGAUGCAAUU
Molecule: non-coding RNA, 416 nt
Organism: Cinara cedri
Lineage: Eukaryota; Metazoa; Arthropoda; Insecta; Hemiptera; Aphididae
Source: the annotation of a GenBank genome assembly